GAUGAAGAACGUAGCGAAAUGCGAUAAGUAAUGUGAAUUGCAGAAUUCAGUGAAUCAUCGAAUCUUUGAACGCACAUUGCGCCCGCCAGUAUUCUGGCGGGCAUGCCUGUUCGAGCGUCAUUUCAACCAUCAAGCCCCAGGCUUGUGUUGGGGACCUGCGGCUGCCGCAGGCCCUGAAAACCAGUGGCGGGCUCGCUGUCACACCGGGCGUAGUAGAUUUUAUCUCGCUCAGGGCGUGCUGCGGGUUCCGGCCGUUAAAAAGCCUUUUUUACCCAAGGUUGACCUCGGAUCAGGUAGGAAUACCCGCUGAACUUAAGCAUAUCAAUAACGGAGGA
Molecule: unclassified non-coding RNA, 335 nt
Filed under: soil metagenome
Description: partial contains 5.8S ribosomal RNA, internal transcribed spacer 2, and large subunit ribosomal RNA
Rfam family: 5.8S ribosomal RNA (bases 1-120)
Source: RNAcentral